Molecule: ribosomal RNA, 428 nt
Filed under: uncultured bacterium
Lineage: Bacteria
Description: bacterial SSU rRNA
Rfam family: Bacterial small subunit ribosomal RNA
Source: RNAcentral
GUAGGGAAUAUUGCACAAUGGAGGAAACUCUGAUGCAGCGACGCCGCGUGAGUGAUGAAGGCCUUCGGGUCGUAAAGCUCUGUCGCAGGGGAAUAACACAAUGAAGGUACCCUGUAAGAAAGGAUCGGCUAACUUCGUGCCAGCAGCCGCGGUAAGACGAGGGAUCCUAGCGUUGUUCGGAAUCAUUGGGCGUAAAGCGGAUGUAGGUGGCUAUGUAAGUCAGAUGUGAAAGCCUGGGGCUCAACCCCAGAAGUGCAUUUGAUACUGCGUAGCUUGAGUGUCGGAGAGGUUACUAGAAUUGUUGGUGUAGUGGUGAAAUACGUAGAUAUCAACAGGAAUACCGGAGGCGAAGGCGGGUAACUGGCCGAACACUGACACUGAGAUCCGAAAGCGUGGGGAUCAAACAGGAUUAGAAACCCUUGUAGUCC